RNAcentral lists this long non-coding RNA (1202 nucleotides) under Vigna radiata. RNAcentral describes it as "long non-coding RNA (VRAD_LNC002085)". The record is from RNAcentral. Lineage: Eukaryota; Viridiplantae; Streptophyta; Magnoliopsida; Fabales; Fabaceae.
AUCUCUCAACCAAAAUCCGCAAACUUUGACAAAGUAAUGGUGGAAAAUUGAAUUUUUGGUGAGUGGGUGAAUGAGAAAGUGAGGAAAUCUCUCUAAAAUGCUCUUGAAAGUGAAAGAAGAGUGCUAGGGCUUAGGGAGACCGCUCAGGUGAAAUGCAAAGAAAGGUUUCUGUUGACGGAUUGGCAAGCGUACCAAAUCGUUCAAGUAAUAUAAUUGGUAAAACCCAAUAUCGUUCUUCCCAAGAGACUUGAAAGGCUGUCUCGUUCACGUGAAUUAAAAUAAUAAGACUUGAAAAUAAAAAUAAUUAAUUUGAUUUGACAACAAAAAUAUUAACAUGCAAAAGAGAUUGAUUCAAUUGACAAAAGAAAACAAUGGAUGAAUGGAGUUGUUGGGGGUUUACAAUUUCAUCUAAUCCUNUCUCUUUUAUCUACUCCUCUUGAAUUAUUAGUUUGAUUAAUUAAUUGUCAUGCAACUUUCUUAGCCUACCCUUAACCCGAUCCCUCGGCGAAAAGAGCCUAAUACUAAUUACUGGCUUGCUAUCCCUAGCCUCCCCUAGCAAUUAAUACAACAUUAUAGAGCAGAAUUUAAACGCAAUUUAUCGUCAUACCCCUAUCCCUAGGAGAUAUUGCAGAAUCAAGAAAUUACUCACCAAUUCAUGACAUUAUUGUACGUCCACGUAUCAAUAAAGACAAACAACAGUUAUCGAAUGAGUUAAACGAUAAAGGNAUUAAGCACAGAUGAGAACCCAACAAUUAACAAUCAAAACAUAUGAAAACCAUAUAAAUAAUCAAGAGUUUCAAUAAAAGAGAGUAUCAAAAUAUUACAUUGUUUCCCCCGACAACAAUAGGGUUUAGUUCACCAUUUUCAUGGUGAAACUAGAUGAAAAAUGGAAGAAGAAUGGAAAAGCAAACCCUAGAAAAGAUGAAAAGGAGCCUAAGACUCCAAGAGAUCCUCUCUAGAGAGCAAAAUUAGGUCUGGCCGUCCUCCCCUGUCAAAAGAAUGACUCUGAACUCGCAAUAGGGGUAUAUAUAGGUGAGGAGCGCAACAGAAAAUAGGCCCAAGCCCAACGGACCACCGCCCGGCAGAACAAGUGUGCCGCCCGGUGGUUUCCCAUAAGCCUCAGAACCGCCCCACGGUAAGGGUUGCCGCCCGGCGGUUUCCCUCAAAACCGCCUAGCGCCAACGCCAAUGCCUACUCCUCGC